This 2235-nucleotide ribosomal RNA is filed under the name Salmonella enterica. Its description in RNAcentral is "bacterial LSU rRNA". It matches the Rfam family "Bacterial large subunit ribosomal RNA", at positions 594 to 2812 of the family's 2925-position model. Lineage: Bacteria; Pseudomonadati; Pseudomonadota; Gammaproteobacteria; Enterobacterales; Enterobacteriaceae. The record is from RNAcentral. RNAcentral also lists the same sequence under 1 other name.
UGACUGCGUACCUUUUGUAUAAUGGGUCAGCGACUUAUAUUCUGUAGCAAGGUUAACCGAAUAGGGGAGCCGGAGGGAAACCGAGUCUUAAUUGGGCGUUAAGUUGCAGGGUAUAGACCCGAAACCCGGUGAUCUAGCCAUGGGCAGGUUGAAGGUUGGGUAACACUAACUGGAGGACCGAACCGACUAAUGUUGAAAAAUUAGCGGAUGACCUGUGGCUGGGGGUGAAAGGCCAAUCAAACCGGGAGAUAGCUGGUUCUCCCCGAAAGCUAUUUAGGUAGCGCCUCGUGAAUUCAUCUCCGGGGGUAGAGCACUGUUUCGGCUAGGGGGCCAUCCCGGCUUACCAACCCGAUGCAAACUGCGAAUACCGGAGAAUGUUAUCACGGGAGACACACGGCGGGUGCUAACGUCCGUCGUGAAGAGGGAAACAACCCAGACCGCCAGCUAAGGUCCCAAAGUCAUGGUUAAGUGGGAAACGAUGUGGGAAGGCCCAGACAGCCAGGAUGUUGGCUUAGAAGCAGCCAUCAUUUAAAGAAAGCGUAAUAGCUCACUGGUCGAGUCGGCCUGCGCGGAAGAUGUAACGGGGCUAAACCAUGCACCGAAGCUGCGGCAGCGACGCUGAUGCGUUGUUGGGUAGGGGAGCGUUCUGUAAGCCUGCGAAGGUGUGUCGUGAGGCAUGCUGGAGGUAUCAGAAGUGCGAAUGCUGACAUAAGUAACGAUAAAGCGGGUGAAAAGCCCGCUCGCCGGAAGACCAAGGGUUCCUGUCCAACGUUAAUCGGGGCAGGGUGAGUCGACCCCUAAGGCGAGGCCGAAAGGCGUAGUCGAUGGGAAACGGGUUAAUAUUCCCGUACUUGGUGUUACUGCGAAGGGGGGACGGAGAAGGCUAUGUUGGCCGGGCGACGGUUGUCCCGGUUUAAGCGUGUAGGUGUGUGUUCCAGGUAAAUCCGGUUCACUUUAACACUGAGGCGUGAUGACGAGGCACUACGGUGCUGAAGCAACAAAUGCCCUGCUUCCAGGAAAAGCCUCUAAGCAUCAGGUAACAUCAAAUCGUACCCCAAACCGACACAGGUGGUCAGGUAGAGAAUACCAAGGCGCUUGAGAGAACUCGGGUGAAGGAACUAGGCAAAAUGGUGCCGUAACUUCGGGAGAAGGCACGCUGACACGUAGGUGAAGUGAUUUACUCAUGGAGCUGAAGUCAGUCGAAGAUACCAGCUGGCUGCAACUGUUUAUUAAAAACACAGCACUGUGCAAACACGAAAGUGGACGUAUACGGUGUGACGCCUGCCCGGUGCCGGAAGGUUAAUUGAUGGGGUCAGCGCAAGCGAAGCUCCUGAUCGAAGCCCCGGUAAACGGCGGCCGUAACUAUAACGGUCCUAAGGUAGCGAAAUUCCUUGUCGGGUAAGUUCCGACCUGCACGAAUGGCGUAAUGAUGGCCAGGCUGUCUCCACCCGAGACUCAGUGAAAUUGAACUCGCUGUGAAGAUGCAGUGUACCCGCGGCAAGACGGAAAGACCCCGUGAACCUUUACUAUAGCUUGACACUGAACAUUGAGCCUUGAUGUGUAGGAUAGGUGGGAGGCUUUGAAGUGUGGACGCCAGUCUGCAUGGAGCCGGCCUUGAAAUACCACCCUUUAAUGUUUGAUGUUCUAACGUGGACCCGUGAUCCGGGUUGCGGACAGUGUCUGGUGGGUAGUUUGACUGGGGCGGUCUCCUCCUAAAGAGUAACGGAGGAGCACGAAGGUUGGCUAAUCCUGGUCGGACAUCAGGAGGUUAGUGCAAUGGCAUAAGCCAGCUUGACUGCGAGCGUGACGGCGCGAGCAGGUGCGAAAGCAGGUCAUAGUGAUCCGGUGGUUCUGAAUGGAAGGGCCAUCGCUCAACGGAUAAAAGGUACUCCGGGGAUAACAGGCUGAUACCGCCCAAGAGUUCAUAUCGACGGCGGUGUUUGGCACCUCGAUGUCGGCUCAUCACAUCCUGGGGCUGAAGUAGGUCCCAAGGGUAUGGCUGUUCGCCAUUUAAAGUGGUACGCGAGCUGGGUUUAGAACGUCGUGAGACAGUUCGGUCCCUAUCUGCCGUGGGCGCUGGAGAACUGAGGGGGGCUGCUCCUAGUACGAGAGGACCGGAGUGGACGCAUCACUGGUGUUCGGGUUGUCAUGCCAAUGGCACUGCCCGGUAGCUAAAUGCGGAAGAGAUAAGUGCUGAAAGCAUCUAAGCACGAAACUUGCCCCGAGAUGAGUUCU